GUAUGAGAUCAUUCCAGCACUAAUGCACUGGAUCGCAUUAGAACUCCGAAGUUAAGUGUGCUUGGGCGAGAGUAGUUGUAGGAUGGGUGACCUCCUGGGAAGUCCUCGUGUUGCACCCC
This 119-nucleotide ribosomal RNA is filed under the name Nelumbo nucifera (sacred lotus). The record is from RNAcentral. Lineage: Eukaryota; Viridiplantae; Streptophyta; Magnoliopsida; Proteales; Nelumbonaceae.